AACGCACAUUGCGCCCCUUGGUAUUCCAUUGGGCAUGCCUGUUCGAGCGUCAUUUACCCCGUCAAGCCUCGCUUGGUGUUGGGCGUCUGUCUGCGCUCCGCGCGCGGACUCGCCCCAAAUUCAUUGGCGGCGGCCCCGUCGGCUUCCCGCGCAGCACAUUGCGCUCGAGGGAGUCCCCGGCGGGCUCGCGUCCACGAAGCCACCUCACGUUUGACCUCGAAUCAGGUAGGGAUACCCGCUGAACUUAA
Molecule: unclassified non-coding RNA, 248 nt
Filed under: uncultured fungus
Lineage: Eukaryota; Fungi
Description: sequence contains ITS2
Source: RNAcentral